RNAcentral lists this transfer RNA (75 nucleotides) under Syntrophomonadaceae bacterium. RNAcentral's name for it is "tRNA-Val". It matches the Rfam family "tRNA". From Rfam's summary of the family: Transfer RNA (tRNA) molecules are approximately 80 nucleotides in length. Their secondary structure includes four short double-helical elements and three loops (D, anti-codon, and T loops). Further hydrogen bonds mediate the characteristic L-shaped molecular structure. tRNAs have two regions of fundamental functional importance: the anti-codon, which is responsible for specific mRNA codon recognition, and the 3' end, to which the tRNAs corresponding amino acid is attached (by aminoacyl-tRNA synthetases). tRNAs cope with the degeneracy of the genetic code in two manners: having more than one tRNA (with a specific anti-codon) for a particular amino acid; and 'wobble' base-pairing, i.e. permitting non-standard base-pairing at the 3rd anti-codon position. Lineage: Bacteria; Bacillati; Bacillota; Clostridia; Eubacteriales; Syntrophomonadaceae. The record is from RNAcentral.
GGGUCGUUGGCUCAGAGGAAGAGCACCUCCCUGACGCGGAGGGGGUCGCAAGUUCGAGUCUUGCACGACCCACCA